This 702-nucleotide ribosomal RNA is filed under the name uncultured Bacteroidales bacterium. RNAcentral's name for it is "bacterial SSU rRNA". It matches the Rfam family "Bacterial small subunit ribosomal RNA", at positions 65 to 755 of the family's 1533-position model. The record is from RNAcentral. Lineage: Bacteria; Pseudomonadati; Bacteroidota; Bacteroidia; Bacteroidales.
AGGGGCAGCAUGGUCUUAGCUUGCUAAGACUGAUGGCGACCGGCGCACGCGGUGAGUAACACGUAUCCAACCUGCCGUCUACUCUUGGACAGCCUUCUGAAAGGAAGAUUAAUACAAGAUGGCAUCAUGAGUCCACAUGUUCACAUGAUUAAAGGUAUUCCGGUAGACGAUGGGGAUGCGUUCCAUUAGAUAGUAGGCGGGGUAACGGCCCACCUAGUCUUCGAUGGAUAGGGGUUCUGAGAGGAAGGUCCCCCACAUUGGAACUGAGACACGGUCCAAACUCCUACGGGAGGCAGCAGUGAGGAAUAUUGGUCAAUGGGCGAGAGCCUGAACCAGCCAAGUAGCGUGAAGGAUGACUGCCCUAUGGGUUGUAAACUUCUUUUAUAAAGGAAUAAAGUCGGGUAUGCAUACCCGUUUGCAUGUACUUUAUGAAUAAGGAUCGGCUAACUCCGUGCCAGCAGCCGCGGUAAUACGGAGGAUCCGAGCGUUAUCCGGAUUUAUUGGGUUUAAAGGGAGCGUAGAUGGAUGUUUAAGUCAGUUGUGAAAGUUUGCGGCUCAACCGUAAAAUUGCAGUUGAUACUGGAUAUCUUGAGUGCAGUUGAGGCAGGCGGAAUUCGUGGUGUAGCGGUGAAAUGCUUAGAUAUCACGAAGAACUCCGAUUGCGAAGGCAGCCUGCUAAGCUGCAACUGACAUUGAGGCUCG